Molecule: non-coding RNA, 2663 nt
Organism: Physcomitrium patens
Lineage: Eukaryota; Viridiplantae; Streptophyta; Bryopsida; Funariales; Funariaceae
Source: RefSeq, a predicted model, not a curated record
ACACUCGCUGCUCCGCUGUCCCUAUGCCGGUCGUUCGAUCAAGGCUUCCGUCCCUUGUGAAAAUUUCGGGAAUUUCAUGCGAGGGAUGGCUUCGUCGUGGUCGUGGCGCAUCGUUUGCUGGUGCCGGGGAUUGUCUUUACUCUUCGCUACUCUCGCAUGAUCACUCCUGUUGCACCGACGCUGUCUGCACAUUUUCUAUCACUCUUAGCAGAAACUUUGUGCUGGAUGUGACGAGGUUCGGAAAUGACGAAGCUCACAAUCGUCAUUUUCUCUCUUGCGCCAUUUCUGCGUUUGGUGAAAAUCAACAUGUUGAUGCAGUUUCUGCUGAUGUUUCAGAACCACGGGUCUUGAACUUCAGUGAAUAACAUAUUGCUUGGAGUGUCUCACUCCGGUGUCAAUUGGAGUGUUCGGGAGGGAUAUUUAACUGCCUUUUUUCUCUCUUUUUGAUUGAUUGAUAUUCUUGUUUCCGUAGUAGCAUCCAGCUUCCUGGCUUCAACUCGCGUGAGGUGAUUAUCUUCGUCCAAUAUUUAGCUGUAGAGAGGCUUGCAGGUGGAUAUCAUCUGAAUUCAUGAAACUAUUAUCUUAGGUUCAACUCUCGCAAGAACAUUAGAUUAACGUAGCUUUUCAGAUUAAUGAACCUCACGACAUAAUCCAAGAAAAUUGGUUCAUUUUUCCGGGUGUGUUCGACUGUAGUUCUGAAAGCGAAAGGUUGAAUGUCAACUUAAUAAUUUCCUAAAUCAACUACACUGGCUCCGUUUUUAUUUCUGAGUUGAGUAGUUCGUUUGUAUAUUGACAAUAUCUCACCUCAAACAGUACGUAUAUGAGUAUAUGUAGUCAGUGCUCUAAAGCUUAUCGCAGUAUUAGGAAACAUUUCAAUUGGAUUCUAUUUCAGUCUCAACUAGGUACUUCAUGCGGUUGGUAUUGCGCUUCGUCUGCAGUUUGGUUGUUAGCAAUGUAUUCGACUGGAUGGGGGUUAUGCGUGUAGCAUAUAUUGUGCACGAUUGGCCGUUUCUUGGUAUUAGUUAUGAUUAUAGCGCUUGUUCGACCACAGUUAGGAGAGCGACCUUGGUACUUUUCCACUUUUCAGGAUCUUGUCUUCCUCCAUUAUCGAGUCGUCAACUUCUUGCUAUAAGACCAAAUCGCUGCAGCAGCUAAUGCUGUUCAUGGUGCUGGAUAAUAUUUUUAUUUCCUGAGGUUCUGGGGAGUACCUAGUUUGUCUACCAGGUAAAAUGGAGCAAAGGACUUACGCUGUCUUCUAUAACCGUCAACAUUAUUAGUUGAGGCAGUGAUUGGAAAAUGACUGCAGAUUUUGUUAGGUUUUCUUAUAAGUUAUGAUUCUGCCACGUUUCAAAAAUCAUGGGAGAAACAUUACUCUAUGAUAUCGUCAGUCGUGGGAAGCUUUUGAGAUGAAUACCGCUGCUACUAACCUUAAUCUUGAAAUUGCAACUGGCUGCAAUAUUGAGCAAUUUGCACGGUAUUUCAGAAGUGAUCAUUAAGGUUAAGGUUAUUUCAGUGAUUUUCUUAAAAGACGCCCUCUUGAUUCUUGAGAUUUUCAUUUAUAGUUUUGGUAGGUUAUCUUUCUGAAUAUUACCAGUUUUCAAGAUUUUUCAUAAGGUCAAAUGCCGACGCUGGAGGUACCUACAUUAGUAUUUUCGUUUACUGGUGUUCUCGACUAUAUCUGAGGAUUUAUUAGGCAUUUGAUAGAUAUAUCUGGUGCAGGUUCUUAAGCAAACUCCAGAGCAAUUCUUUGGGCAUCUUAUAGUGGGUGGCGGAAUCUCCGACUCCACUGAUCCUAAUGGGCGGUUCGUUAUAUUUGGAAGUGACAAAAUAUUUUGCCGAUAUGGUGCUGUUUAUGCUGCUGAGGGGUGUCUCCGCUCAGGGGUGAUCGUUCGAACCUUUCUCCACUUUGUUCAGGUCAGGGAAGAGCAGCUUGGAACAGAUUCCCUAUGUUUCUAAAAUCAGACCACUUGUUACUGAAUCUCGUAGGUGACACAUAAACCGUUGAAGAUCUUCAUUCGUGUGUCCUCAACAGAAAGAAGAAAAAAAUGUAUGUGCGGAAUGCAAAGCCAGUUUGAGUCUUUCAAUUGCUCAUGCGCCUUCUUCAAUUCUGCUUCUUGCUGACACAAUUAAUUGUUUCAAGAUUGUCGAUGCAGUCGCGUCAAAGGCAAGGAUUCGACAUCAACCUUGUGAAGCUCGUAUCCGACGUUGGUACCAACAUAGUGAUAGUAAGCGGUGGUGUGGUUGUUUGAAGCACUUUUCAGGGCUUCAGCUUCUAUCAAACUAGGGCUGCAGCUGCGUUGGCUGCCGAAAGAUGCCACAGAAAGGACGUAAGUUGAUUGGAGUUUUUAAAGAGUGAGCACUGACUUUCCAAGCUAAGCAUGGAUUGAUUCAGAAGUGUUUGUGUAGGGAAAUAUCAAGCUCAAAGAAUACUGUAAGGUUGCUGACAGAUGUUACUUAUUGCUGUCAGAGCUGUUUCCCGGUAUGUUCUGCCUUCGUUAGACUAGAUUAUAAUUGAUGUUUUGCAUUGAUGGUAAGGUAUCUCACCAAUGUGUCACGUUAGGAAACAAUGCUCAUUAAAGUGAUACUCGGUAUACAUGAGGAAGUACACCCACUUAAUGUUGGACUUUCCCUUUUAUAUUUGACUGUCAACAAUGUUUGGGAAA